This 352-nucleotide unclassified non-coding RNA is filed under the name soil metagenome. RNAcentral's name for it is "partial contains 5.8S ribosomal RNA, internal transcribed spacer 2, and large subunit ribosomal RNA". The stretch from base 1 to 120 matches the Rfam family "5.8S ribosomal RNA", at positions 35 to 154 of the family's 154-position model. The record is from RNAcentral.
GAUGAAGAACGUAGCGAAAUGCGAUAAGUAAUGUGAAUUUCAGAAUUCAGUGAAUCAUCGAAUCUUUGAACGCACAUUGCGCCCGCCAGUAUUCUGGCGGGCAUGCCUGUUCGAGCGUCAUUACAACCCUCAGGCCCCCGGGCCUGGCGUUGGGGAUCGGCGGAGCCCCCCGUGGGCACACGCCGUCCCCCAAAUGCAGUGGCGGUCCCGCCGCAGCUUCCAUCGCGUAGUAGCUAACACCUCGCGACUGGAGAGCGGCGCGGCCACGCCGUAAAACACCCAACUCUUCUGAAGUUGACCUCGAAUCAGGUAGGAAUACCCGCUGAACUUAAGCAUAUCAAUAAGCGGAGGA